CAGCAGCCGCGGUAAUACGAAGGGGGCUAGCGUUGUUCGGAAUUACUGGGCGUAAAGCGCACGUAGGCGGAUCGAUCAGUCAGGGGUGAAAUCCCAGAGCUCAACUCUGGAACUGCCUUUGAUACUGGGUAUCUUGAGUAUGGAAGAGGUGAGUGGAAUUCCGAGUGUAGAGGUGAAAUUCGUAGAUAUUCGGAGGAACACCAGUGGCGAAGGCGGCUCACUGGUCCAUUACUGACGCUGAGGUGCGAAAGCGUGGGGAGCAAACAGGAUUAGAUACCCGCGUAGUCCCUGUCUCUUAUAC
RNAcentral lists this ribosomal RNA (301 nucleotides) under uncultured bacterium. Its description in RNAcentral is "partial 16S ribosomal RNA". It matches the Rfam family "Bacterial small subunit ribosomal RNA", at positions 509 to 807 of the family's 1533-position model. The record is from RNAcentral.